GACGAACCGUGCGAACGUUGUUCGGAAUCACUGGGCUUAAAGGGCGCGUAGGCGGCUUGGCAAGUCCGGGGUGAAAGCCCCCAGCUCAACUGGGGAAGUGCCUUGGAUACUGCCGAGCUCGAGCGAGAUAGGGGUCGUGGGAACUUCCGGUGGAGCGGUGAAAUGCGUUGAUAUCGGAAGGAACGCCGGUGGCGAAAGCGCACGACUGGAUCUCUUCUGACGCUGAGGCGCGAAAGCCAGGGGAGCAAACGGG
Molecule: ribosomal RNA, 253 nt
Filed under: uncultured bacterium
Lineage: Bacteria
Description: partial 16S ribosomal RNA
Rfam family: Bacterial small subunit ribosomal RNA
Source: RNAcentral